GACGAACGCUGGCGGCGUGCUUAACACAUGCGAGUCGAACGGAAAGGCCCUGCUUUUGUGGGGUGCUCGAGUGGCGAAAGGGUGAGUAACACGUGAGUAACCUGCCCUUGACUUUGGGAUAACUUCAGGAAACUGGGGCUAAUACCGGAUAGGAGCUCCUGCUGCAUGGUGGGGGUUGGAAAGUUUCGGCGGUUGGGGAUGGACUCGCGGCUUAUCAGCUUGUUGGUGGGGUAGUGGCUUACCAAGGCUUUGACGGGUAGCCGGCCUGAGAGGGUGACCGGCCCCAUUGGGGCUGAGAUACGGCCCAGGCUCCUAGGGGGGGGAGGGGGGGGGAAUUUUGCAAAAUGGGCGGAAGCGUGAUGCAGCAACGCCGGGUGCGGGAGGACGGCCUUCGGGUUGUAAACCGCUUUCGCCUGUAACGAAGCGUGAGGGACGGAAAUGGGUAAAGAAGCACCGGCUAACUACGG
RNAcentral lists this ribosomal RNA (467 nucleotides) under uncultured bacterium. Its description in RNAcentral is "partial 16S ribosomal RNA". It matches the Rfam family "Bacterial small subunit ribosomal RNA", at positions 28 to 506 of the family's 1533-position model. The record is from RNAcentral.